UGAGGAAUAUUGGUCAAUGGUCGAGAGACUGAACCAGCCAAGUCGCGUGAAGGAAGGCGGUAUUAUGUAUUGUAAACUUCUUUUUAUUGGGAAUAAAAGGCAUCACGAGUGAUGUAUUGCAGGUACCAAUAGAAUAAGCAUCGGCUAACUCCGUGCCAGCAGCCGCGGUAAUACGGAGGAUGCGAGCGUUAUCCGGAUUUAUUGGGUUUAAAGGGUGCGUAGGUUGAUAUUUAAGUCAGCGGUGAAAUUUUACAGCUUAACUGUAUUCGUGCCGUUGAAACUGGGAAUCUUGAGAGGGCGCGAGGUAGGCGGAAUUCGUGGUGUAGCGGUGAAAUGCAUAGAUAUCACGAAGAACUCCGAUAGCGCAGGCAGCUUACCAGAGCUCUUCUGACACUGAAGCACGAAAGUGUGGGUAUCAAACAGGAUUAGAUACCCUGGUAGUCCACACAGUAAACGAUGAUUACUCGCUGUUUGUGAUAUAUUUCAAGCGGCCAAGCGAAAGCGUUAAGUAAUCCACCU
RNAcentral lists this ribosomal RNA (519 nucleotides) under uncultured bacterium. RNAcentral's name for it is "bacterial SSU rRNA". It matches the Rfam family "Bacterial small subunit ribosomal RNA", at positions 355 to 874 of the family's 1533-position model. The record is from RNAcentral.